RNAcentral lists this ribosomal RNA (711 nucleotides) under uncultured Tricholomataceae. RNAcentral describes it as "eukaryotic LSU rRNA". The stretch from base 247 to 400 matches the Rfam family "5.8S ribosomal RNA". Lineage: Eukaryota; Fungi; Basidiomycota; Agaricomycetes; Agaricales; Tricholomataceae. The record is from RNAcentral.
UCCGUAGGUGAACCUGCGGAAGGAUCAUUAUUGAAUUCAUCUGCUGGGUUGUUGCUGGUUCCUUAUGGUUCAUGUGCACGCCGAGCUUUUGACUUUAUCCCCUGUGCACUUUUGUAGUCGGCUUUUGUGUUAGGUCAUGUGUCUAGUAUUAGAAAUUUGACUGAGCAUAGAGUUGUUCUACGUUUAUACAAACCCAUUGUAUGUUCAGAAGUUUUUUAUUGGUCGGAAGACCUUUAAUCAUAAUACAACUAUUGACAACGGAUCUCUUGGCUCACGCAUCGAUGAAGAACGCAGCGAAAUGCGAUAAGUAAUGUGAAUUGCAGAUUUCAGUGAAUCAUCGAAUCUUUGAACGCACCUUGCACCUUCUGGUAUUCCGGAAGGUACAUCUGUUUGAGUGUCAUUAAAUUCUCAACCAUUCAGGCUUUGCUUGUAUGGCUUGGUUGUGAGGGAUGCGGGCUUUUGUUAGUCGGCUCUCUUGAAAUGCAUUAGCUGGGAACUAGUAUUAGGUUCAAGUGCAUUGAUGCUUGAAGACCUCCUGGUGUGAUAAUUAUCUACGCCGUUGGUUUAGUCUUUGCUUGUAUUGGCCUUAGAAUGUGUCCUGCUUCUAAUUGUCUACUUAGUAGACUAAUCCUUAUGGAUUACAUUUGACUAUUGUGACCUCAAAUCAGAUGGGACUACCCGCUGAACUUAAGCAUAUCAAUAAGCGGAGGA